Molecule: ribosomal RNA, 1055 nt
Filed under: Klebsiella pneumoniae subsp. ozaenae
Lineage: Bacteria; Pseudomonadati; Pseudomonadota; Gammaproteobacteria; Enterobacterales; Enterobacteriaceae
Description: bacterial SSU rRNA
Rfam family: Bacterial small subunit ribosomal RNA
Source: RNAcentral
AUGCAAGUCGAGCGGUAGCACAGAGAGCUUGCUCUCGGGUGACGAGCGGCGGACGGGUGAGUAAUGUCUGGGAAACUGCCUGAUGGAGGGGGAUAACUACUGGAAACGGUAGCUAAUACCGCAUAACGUCGCAAGACCAAAGUGGGGGACCUUCGGGCCUCAUGCCAUCAGAUGUGCCCAGAUGGGAUUAGCUAGUAGGUGGGGUAACGGCUCACCUAGGCGACGAUCCCUAGCUGGUCUGAGAGGAUGACCAGCCACACUGGAACUGAGACACGGUCCAGACUCCUACGGGAGGCAGCAGUGGGGAAUAUUGCACAAUGGGCGCAAGCCUGAUGCAGCCAUGCCGCGUGUGUGAAGAAGGCCUUCGGGUUGUAAAGCACUUUCAGCGGGGAGGAAGGCGGUGAGGUUAAUAACCUUGGCGAUUGACGUUACCCGCAGAAGAAGCACCGGCUAACUCCGUGCCAGCAGCCGCGGUAAUACGGAGGGUGCAAGCGUUAAUCGGAAUUACUGGGCGUAAAGCGCACGCAGGCGGUCUGUCAAGUCGGAUGUGAAAUCCCCGGGCUCAACCUGGGAACUGCAUUCGAAACUGGCAGGCUAGAGUCUUGUAGAGGGGGGUAGAAUUCCAGGUGUAGCGGUGAAAUGCGUAGAGAUCUGGAGGAAUACCGGUGGCGAAGGCGGCCCCCUGGACAAAGACUGACGCUCAGGUGCGAAAGCGUGGGGAGCAAACAGGAUUAGAUACCCUGGUAGUCCACGCCGUAAACGAUGUCGAUUUGGAGGUUGUGCCCUUGAGGCGUGGCUUCCGGAGCUAACGCGUUAAAUCGACCGCCUGGGGAGUACGGCCGCAAGGUUAAAACUCAAAUGAAUUGACGGGGGCCCGCACAAGCGGUGGAGCAUGUGGUUUAAUUCGAUGCAACGCGAAGAACCUUACCUGGUCUUGACAUCCACAGAACUUUCCAGAGAUGGAUUGGUGCCUUCGGGAACUGUGAGACAGGUGCUGCAUGGCUGUCGUCAGCUCGUGUUGUGAAAUGUUGGGUUAAGUCCCGCAACGAGCGCAA